GUGUUCACUUUGGCAGCACAUGCACAAAAAUUGGAACAAUACAGAGAAGAUUCAUAAGGUGUCUGCGCAAGGAUGACAUACAAAUUUGUGAGGUGUUCCACAUAAAA
Non-coding RNA from Macaca mulatta (Rhesus monkey), 107 nucleotides. The record is from Rfam. NCBI's taxonomy places the organism in Eukaryota, Metazoa, Chordata, Mammalia, Primates, Cercopithecidae.